This is a long non-coding RNA of Gambusia affinis (western mosquitofish), 1159 nucleotides long. RefSeq lists it as uncharacterized. The record is from RefSeq and is a predicted model, not a curated record. NCBI's taxonomy places the organism in Eukaryota, Metazoa, Chordata, Actinopteri, Cyprinodontiformes, Poeciliidae. The transcript is spliced from 3 exons.
GCUUGCUUCAUGCCCACAUUUGAAACCAAACGGAAAAAACAGACUUCAGUUUCAAGGGACCACAUGAAACUUCAAGAGGAACUGAAGUCUGCUGCAACUGCUGCAAUCUUUUCACUGCAUUUGAUCGGCCGGAUUAAACUGAAGGACACUGAAUAAUACGGGAAGCUCGCAGGUCUUGGAACGUCAUCCCAAAUGUGAAGUAGUAGGUGGAAGCAUCAUGUUGUGUGUUUUAUUGAAGAAUAGACUGGUUUCAGCUUUAUAAAUAAAACCUCUCUCUGUAAUGUGCAUGGAGUAGGCAAUUUAUUUAUUUUCUGUUCUUUCUUGUUACAGUCUGCUAAGGGUUAGCAUUAAAACUUGCAUUUUUAUGCCAUUUCCAAUCCACACACAGGUAGAAAAGGCAACAUGUGUUCAUUAUUUUAGCUUAGUUUUACUCCUUUUGACAAUAACACAACUAUGCAGCUUUCAAAGUACUUCAACCAGUUUGGGUUUUUUUUGAGACACGCUAAACAAAAAUCCCACAUGCAUGCAUUAUUUUGGCUCCCUUAUUGAAGUUCAAGUGUGUAUAAGUCAUGCUAAAGACCUCAAAGCAAGAACUUCAACCAAUUUCAAUGUGUGAAAUUGCUGGGGGUUUCUUCUUUUCCAGUUUGUUCAGAUAUGUGAUGUUAAUCUAUUUGUUUCUCAUCUUCCAAAUAUCUCUCCCGAGUUGGCUUCUUCUCCCCCCCCCCGUAACCUCCCCACUCCCUCGGUCUCUCCUGCUCUGAUAGCUGUGCAUGAGAUGACUCAAAGGACACAGCAAAGCACCAGAGUUCGCACCAGAGUUCGCACCAGCAACGCGGCACUCAGUUGAAACAGAUUUGAUUUCUAUUCCUCUAUGUUCGGGUGACAUCGCUGCUCCUCCGAGACGUUUGCGCUGGGAUUGGAACGGGGAUCAAGUCACCUGUCACAGCAAAGAAGGCCAGGCUGCAGAGAACCUGAGCAUGUAUGCCUGGAUGUGACUGUAGACUUGCUUUUAUCUUUUGUUUAUGGUUUUCUUUGUUCAGGAUGGUGUUUGUGUUUGGUGCUGCUACAAUUUGGCUUUUCGAUAUAUAUAUAUUUUUUUGUUUUUCUCUUUGUGUUGUCUUAGCCGCAAAGCACCUUGUAAGACAUAUACAGUGCCUUG